MicroRNA precursor from Chlorocebus sabaeus (green monkey), 88 nucleotides. The record is from Ensembl. Lineage: Eukaryota; Metazoa; Chordata; Mammalia; Primates; Cercopithecidae.
GCCCCAGCGCGCCGCCGCCGCCGCCGUCGCAGCCCCAGUCCCAGGCGGCGGCGGCGGCGGGGGCGGCGGCGGGCGGCCAGCAGGCGGC